CCCAAACUGGAAAAUUUGGGAGCAUACUUCAUAUCUGCCCCUAAGUUGAGCUUUCAGUGUAAAAGAAAAGCUUCCAGUAGGACAAAGAAUCAUCUAACAAGUCAUACUCAUGUUUAAAGGCACCUAAAAUCAAGAAAACUUACUGGGGGGUUGCUUGUUGCAUUUACUAUUUCAAUAUUUGUGGAUAUUUGAAGCUGAAUCCUGCAUGGAAGACGGUCAAUGAAAAACCAGUGCGUAGACUGCCAUCUACUGGACAACCAGAAAACAAACUGCUGAGUCGCCCUAGGACCUUGAGCAACAAAGGCAAAAAGGCAAAAUUAUGAAUACAUCAGUGGAACAGACAGGAGCAUGUAGGCACAACAAUGGUCCAGUUUGAAAUGAUUAUUUGCAAAAGAGUGUACAUUUCUACUUUCAAUGUUUGUACAGAGUCACUGGAGUUAUGACAAUAAAAUGAUUUUCAAAUUGUGAUUCCUUGAUACACCCAGGGAGCAGAGACGACUCAGAACUUCUAGUGACAUAUCAAAAACAGAUAUGAGGAAUGUUCCCUUCCCCAGAAUAAGAACAGAACGG
Molecule: long non-coding RNA, 570 nt
Filed under: Cricetulus griseus (Chinese hamster)
Lineage: Eukaryota; Metazoa; Chordata; Mammalia; Rodentia; Cricetidae
Description: lncRNA (ENSCGRG00015036211.1)
Source: RNAcentral